Molecule: ribosomal RNA, 495 nt
Filed under: uncultured bacterium
Lineage: Bacteria
Description: bacterial SSU rRNA
Rfam family: Bacterial small subunit ribosomal RNA
Source: RNAcentral
UGGGAACGCGAAGAACCUUACCAGGUCUUGACAUCCCGUUGAUCGCUCUGGAGACAGAGCUUCCCUUCGGGGCGGCGGUGACAGGUGGUGCAUGGUUGUCGUCAGCUCGUGUCGUGAGAUGUUGGGCUAAGUCCUGCAACGAGCGCAACCCCUGUCGUUAGUUGCCAUCACGUAAAGGUGGGCACCCUAACGAGACUGCCGGUGACAAGCCGGAGGAAGGUGGGGAUGACGUCAAAUCAUCAUGCCCUUUAUGAUCUGGGCAACACACGUGCUACAAUGGAUGGUACAAAGAGGCGCAAAGUCGCGAGGCAGAGCAAAUCUCAAAAAGCCAUUCUCAGUUCGGAUUGGAGUCUGCAACUCGACUCCAUGAAGUCGGAAUCGCUAGUAAUUGCGAAUCAGAAUGUCGCAGUGAAUGCGUUCCCGGGUCUUGUACACACCGCGUCUUGUACACACCGGGGGUCUUGGUACACACCGGAGGUCGGUGGGGAGGGGCAA